UCUGCUCUUCUAGUGCCACCAUGAGCUACUGUUCACUUUGGUGCUGGCCACCCCACAGCUUCCUGGGACACAGAAGACAACCCCAGGACUGCAGUAACUGAGGGCUGAAGAUGGAAGAAUCACAAUUGCCUUUAUUCCUCUGACUCCUGAAAAGAAGAUAUGAUGCUCAGUGAUAUGCUGUGGAGAUAUGGCAGCAAAUCCACUCAAAAACGAAGGAAAACCUUCAGAAAUGAAGGCUGGAAGAAAGUUUAUCCUUUCAUAUUUGACAGUCUGGAACAAGUAGGCAUGGAGUUUUGCGUUUCUUAUUAAC
Aethalodelphis obliquidens (Pacific white-sided dolphin) is the source of this 310-nucleotide long non-coding RNA. RefSeq lists it as uncharacterized. The transcript has 3 exons. Lineage: Eukaryota; Metazoa; Chordata; Mammalia; Artiodactyla; Delphinidae. The record is from RefSeq and is a predicted model, not a curated record.